CCAAUAGCGUAUAUUAAAGUUGUUGCAGUUAAAAAGCUCGUAGUUGAAUUUCGGGGUUAGUAGGUUGGUCAUGCCUCUGGUAUGUACUGGUCUCACUGAUUCCUCCUUCCUGAUGAACCGUAAUGCCAUUAAUUUGGUGUUGCGGGGAAUUUGGACUGUUACUUUGAAAAAAUUAGAGUGUUUAAAGCAGGCAUUUUGCUUGAAUACAUUAGCAUGGAAUAAUAAAAUAGGACGGAUGAUUCUAUUUUGUUGGUUUCUAGGACCACCGUAAUGAUUAAUAGGGAUAGUUGGGGGCAUUAGUAUUCAAUUGUCAGAGGUGAAAUUCUUGGAUUUAUUGAUGACUAACUACUGCGAAAGCAUUUGCCAAGGAUGUUUUCAUUAAUCAAGAACGAAAGUUAGGGGAUCGAAGACGAUCAGAUACCGUCGUAGUCUUAACCAUAAACUAUGCCGACUAGGAAUCAGACGAUGUUAAUUUUUUAAUGACUCGUUUGGCACCUUACG
RNAcentral lists this ribosomal RNA (501 nucleotides) under uncultured Glomeromycotina. RNAcentral's name for it is "partial small subunit ribosomal RNA". It matches the Rfam family "Eukaryotic small subunit ribosomal RNA", at positions 591 to 1092 of the family's 1831-position model. The record is from RNAcentral. Lineage: Eukaryota; Fungi; Glomeromycota.